AGUGGCGUACGGGAGAGUAACACGUAAGUAAUCUACCCUCGGGUGGGGAAUAACUUAAGGAAACUUAAGCUAAUACCGCAUAAUGCAGCGGCUCCAUAUGGAGACAGUUGUUAAAGCAUUUAUGCGCCUGGGGAGGAGCUUGCGGCAGAUUAGCUAGUUGGUAAGGUAAUGGUUUACCAAGGCAACGAUCUGUAGCCGGUCUAAGAGGACGGUCGGUCUCACUGACACUGAAUAACGGGUCAG
Molecule: ribosomal RNA, 243 nt
Filed under: uncultured bacterium
Lineage: Bacteria
Description: partial 16S ribosomal RNA
Rfam family: Bacterial small subunit ribosomal RNA
Source: RNAcentral